This 107-nucleotide small nuclear RNA is filed under the name Salvator merianae (Argentine black and white tegu). The record is from RNAcentral. Lineage: Eukaryota; Metazoa; Chordata; Lepidosauria; Squamata; Teiidae.
GUGCUCGCUUUGGCAGCACAUAUACUAAAAUUGGAAUGAUGCAGGGAAGAUUAGCAUGGCCCCUGCGCAAGGAUGACACGCAAAUUUGUGAAGCAUUCCAAAGUUAA